Marmota monax (woodchuck) is the source of this 1558-nucleotide long non-coding RNA. RefSeq lists it as uncharacterized. The transcript is spliced from 4 exons. The record is from RefSeq and is a predicted model, not a curated record. NCBI's taxonomy places the organism in Eukaryota, Metazoa, Chordata, Mammalia, Rodentia, Sciuridae.
CCUUUGCCAUUUAAUCUUUCUAAUCUUCCGGAUCCCCAGAGACCCCCUCCAUUCCUCCCUGGCAGGCAAGAGAGUGGCAGCAGGUCUAAGAAGGUGGGAGAACCUCUUGGGAAGAGCUGAGUACAGAUGGAUAGGUCCCUCCACCAGUCCCAGGUGGAAAGCGGGAAGUUGCGUGUGCAGACUGGGGUCCCUGGGAGGGGACGCUCAGCGGAGGCCAGAGAACUCGGCGGCUUCACCUCGAGGGGGCUCCCAUCUCAAGUCUCCCGUGUCGGAGGAAGAGUCCGACGGCUCCCGAAGUCCGCAGGCGGGAGGCGGGUUCGACUGUAGAUGACGAAACACAGGGAGACGAGUGAAGAGCGAGUGGGGAGAUCCUCGAAGGGGAAGAAGAGGGAAAGGAAGAGAAAAACGAACCAAAGGAGGAGUACGCCGAGUACAGACGGAGGCAGGCCCCGGCCUCAUUUGCCUAAUGCAAUGCGGCUGAACUCUCGCUGAACUCGCCUAGCGGCGCCUCACCUCCGAGUGACCCACCCACCGCUGCCCGUGACAUCACCCGAUCGCCAGCCCGCCUGCAGGGUUCGCCCGCCGGUCCCCUGCCCGGCCCGACCGGGCCGGGCCAGCUCUCCCAGACACGCAGAGAACGGCCGAAGGUGGGGCUGGGCCGUGGUGCUUGGCUGUGGUGCUUGUGGCCAAGCAUUAGAGCCACGAACGCAGCGUGUCUAGUGUCCCGGUUGUGACAUUGUGCAACUUGGGUACUGUGUCUGAAUGAGACACCCGGCUUGUGUCACUGUCUGUGACAUCAUGUGUGACUCGGGCCACCAGCCCGCCCGCCCGCCGGAACCCAACGCGGCAGCGCAGUACUGUUGGCACAAACACAAGCAGAGGGGUUCUCCUCCCCACUCUGCGUGCUUCCGGUGAGCAAAGCCCCGCCCAGGGUGUCUCCCAGCUAGGGAACUAGGAUUCACAGCCAAAUGGUCCAGCCCUGGAGAGAUAAAAGGAGGGUCUGGUGUCUUCCAGCUGACCACUUCCUCCCGGAAGCCCUCAGGAUGCCUAGGAUGUCUGUUUCUUUGAAAGAAGGACCUUGGUUGGGUAGGUCCUUAGAAAAAGGGGAUGCCCCUGGAGGAGGGGUAUCCUAUUACCCUGCUCUGUAAGAAGGAGAUGAAUUUACAUAAAACACAACGUUAUUCUUCUAGAAGCCAGGUGCUUUACAUAUGUUGUCACUUAAUUCUCACAGCAACUGCAAGAGGCUUUAAAAAUAAACAGUUUGGGUUGGAGAUGUGGCUUAAUGGUAGAGCAUUUCCUAGCUUGCAUGAGACUGGUUCGAUCCCCAAUACCACCAAAAAAAGAAACUGAAAUCUCAGCAAGAGUAGGUGAGUCCUGCAAGAUCACACUAUGAAUGAAUAUAAUGGGUAAAGAUGCAAGUUUCUGUCACCAGAGCACAUGCUUCCACCAAAGCAACUCAAUAUGAACUGUAUUUUCUAAGUGUCUUUUAUAAAGUGGAUAUCCUGAAGACCUUCUGGAGUAACAUCUACUAAUGUGUAAUAUGAAAACAUUAUAUGUA